CAUGCAGUCGAGCGGAUGAGUGGAGCUUGCUCCAUGAUUCAGCGGCGGACGGGUGAGUAAUGCCUAGGAAUCUGCCUGGUAGUGGGGGACAACGUUUCGAAAGGAACGCUAAUACCGCAUACGUCCUACGGGAGAAAGUGGGGGAUCUUCGGACCUCACGCUAUCAGAUGAGCCUAGGUCGGAUUAGCUAGUUGGCGAGGUAAAGGCUCACCAAGGCGACGAUCCGUAACUGGUCUGAGAGGAUGAUCAGUCACACUGGAACUGAGACACGGUCCAGACUCCUACGGGAGGCAGCAGUGGGGAAUAUUGGACAAUGGGCGAAAGCCUGAUCCAGCCAUGCCGCGUGUGUGAAGAAGGUCUUCGGAUUGUAAAGCACUUUAAGUUGGGAGGAAGGGCAGUAAGCUAAUACCUUGCUGUUUUGACGUUACCGACAGAAUAAGCACCGGCUAACUUCGUGCCAGCAGCCGCGGUAAUACGAAGGGUGCAAGCGUUAAUCGGAAUUACUGGGCGUAAAGCGCGCGUAGGUGGUUCGUUAAGUUGGAUGUGAAAGCCCCGGGCUCAACCUGGGAACUGCAUCCAA
Molecule: ribosomal RNA, 580 nt
Filed under: bacterium YOFD
Lineage: Bacteria
Description: bacterial SSU rRNA
Rfam family: Bacterial small subunit ribosomal RNA
Source: RNAcentral